This 3512-nucleotide long non-coding RNA is filed under the name Sus scrofa (pig). RNAcentral's name for it is "lncRNA (ENSSSCG00055002526.1)". Lineage: Eukaryota; Metazoa; Chordata; Mammalia; Artiodactyla; Suidae. The record is from RNAcentral.
GUCUAUCUCUCUCUUAACAUUUACAGGCUGAGAUCACUGUGGAGGAACAAGCAAUAGAGUCUUGUCAAGAUUUUAUCUCAGGGUAAUGCUUAGUUGAAAAUGAAAGCCUGAAAUACUGAUUUUCUUCGUGAGAAGAAUUGACUGAUGUUGAGAACCCCCAGUGUCUGACCGAGGAAAGCUGAGCAGGGCCACUGCAGCCCGCGGCUCUCUGACAGCAGCAGGGGCUGGGUUGAGGCAGCGGCUGCUGGCCUGGGGCGCACCCGUAAAUGGACUUGGGGCUCAAUGCUGUGACUCUUAGUCGUGGCUUUGGAUGUUGGAAUACCGGCGGUGAUCUUCUGUCUCUUAUCAACUCCCCUGAUUUAAAGGAAAGAUGAGUGAAGAACCGAAGGAGAAAAAUGCCAAACCUGCUCACAGGAAAAGGAAAGGGAAAAAGGUAAGUGAACAUGGCACUGGGCAUUCCUCAUUACGCCUCCCAUCUGGCCUUGACUCAUGUUGCCUUUUUAUGGACUAACACUCAACAAGGCAGUUAGAAAAAAUAUGCAGGUACUGUGGAUACUAUGGAAGUAUGUAUUCUAAGAGAGAUGGUAAGUGUGGUCUGUUUUAAGUUUCCUCGUUGAUACCAAGCUGGGCAGCCUCUCUCUCUUUCCCACUCCUCCCAGCCAAAGUGGCUUUAUUGGUUUAGUAAGCAUCUCGAGCUGGCAUGGCUAAAAAAAUAAGUUUCACUUUCAGGCUUGUCGGAUAUGCUUUUUUGGAGGAUGGUUUUUUUUAUCAAAAGCCUGAAAUCAUUUGACAUUGUUGGUGUUUUAAGUGAAUCUGUGUCACCGUGUGUUGUCGUUCACAUCUGGCCAGUUCGGAAUGAAAUGUACUAUUUUGCAGUACUGCGGGUGAUGUGAUCCUUACGACAUGGUCUUUGUAGCUCAGAGAAAGAAAACUCCAGGCUGAAAGAGUCUGAAGUUGUACCCAAAGUAAACAUUCUAAAUUGGUAGUUGCCUAAAGUCUAGAGUAUUAUUAGAACUCUUUUGAAUUCACAGUUCUAAAUCAAAGAAGUGUAAUUGGAGUUUCCUUUUUAAAUAUUUGAAGACUGUAUUUACUAUACUGUUCAAAUAUUAGAUCUAUAUUUGGAAGGUGAUUUUAAAGCAUUUUAAGCUAAAUAGGAAUGUGAAUUCUUAUUCAAUUCACUAUUGAAAAGAUGUACUACCAUUAAAGACUUUCUAAAGUAUUUAGUAGCUUUUUAAUAUUUUAUGACUGUUAUAGCGAAAUCCUUUAAAUAUUUCCAUUGUUAAUUCUCUAGGAGUUAAAAUUAUAGUAACAUUUUGACUUUGUCUUUUUUGAGAUUGGAAGUUUGAUUUACUAGUUGGCCAUUGCAUUUUGUUGAGAAUUAUAUUUCACUUUGUUUAAAAAUGAGACCCAGAGAAGCCAUAUUUAUAGAUCCUUGGUGGAUGUUUUGUUGUUGUUUUCGUUAAUGUUGGAAAACAUAAUAUUGUGUAAAAGUGGUUUCUUUUUUGAAGUGUGCAUUAAUGUAUUUUCAAGUUGACAUAUUUAGAAAAUAUCUGGAUGAAAUGGCUUUUUUUUUUUUGAAUUGACUUCUUGUUAUAGCUUCAUGUGCAAUAAAUGAAUAGAAAUAGUCAUUGCCUUUAGAAAAUUUACUUUGAUUUACUCACUGAGAGGCUCAAUGUUAAGAGUAUACCAAAUGCCGACCUCUUUCAAUUUUACUUUUUUCUAAGGUUUGUUUAGAUGUUAUGUAUUUGAGGGUGUUUCUUUUAACUCUUAAUUAUUACGCUGCUGUGACACAAUAGUCUUUGGGGUGAUGAUUUUAAUAGGAAACAUUUCAUUUUAACUCUCCAAAUUUCAUUUGCCUGACACCUUCAAACAGCCAAUUUCUAAAUGCUGGAUGGAUAUAUUUUUUUUGUAUCUAUACCUAGAGGUAGAAUGGUAUAGAUGCAGUAGUAGGAUGGAUAUAUGAAUAAAUCUAACUUUAUACUGGUGGUUGUUUUCCUCAGUGAAGUAUUAUUUUUCACACUUCACAAAUAAGGGAGCUCUGACUCAUAAAUAAAUAUUACUCUCACUAAUUUUAUUGCAACAUAAUGACUUUGCUAAUGGGAGACAGCCUUUAAAAAAGGUUAGGAGUUUCCUGGUGGCUCAGUGGGUUAAAGAUCAAGUGUUUUCACUGUAGUGGCUCAGGUUGCUGCUGUGGCAUGUAUUCGAUCCCUGUCCUGGGAACUUUUGCAUGUUGUGGGUGUGGCCAAAAAAACUUAUACUUAAAAAAUAAGUCAUAAAAAUUGAACUUUCAAAAUGAGGCCCUGAGAGCAUUGGAAAUGAAAUUCAGACCUAUGAAAACUUUAGUUUUUCAUCUUCUGGAUUCUUUUUUUUCCAUGCCCGAAGCAUGCCAAAGUUCCCAGGACAGGAACUGAACUUGUGCCACAGCAGUAACAACACUGGAUACUUAACCCGUUGAGCCACUAGGGAACUCCUCUUCUGGAUUCUUAAAUCUUUUGUAAGUCUUAUUGCUGGUUUGUUCAUCAGAAAUGAAAACUGAAUUAACAUUAUGAUUUGACUCAAUAAAUAUGAUUAUCUGUUCCUAAUGUCACGGAUUUCACUGGGGAACAUUUAGUCAUAUAAGUUGUCAGUUCUGAUUAGAAGCAGUUAUGUCUGCACCCCUAAAUUGCUGAACUCCAGAGCCUUGAAUCUUGGGGAAGUCAGAGGUUCCUUAGAUCUCUGAGAAGGUUUAAGAUCACUUAAAAUACUCGAUAAAUUGUUUUAUGUUUGAAGUGUACAGUUUACACCAUCUUCUUAAGUCCGAGAUGAUGCCCCAGCCAUGUCUUUCCCUUUAAUGAGAAAUUCACAAAUAGCACAAAUGUUAGUCUUGGGUGAGGUUUCUAGAGCCACUCUGGAAUUUCCUUGCGAGAUUUUUUUUUUUUUUUUUUUUUAAUUUGCAACGUGUGUCAUUUGCACAGUCCGUCAAUACUGAUGGCAUCCAUGCUGCUUUCCUUGUAGGAGCUAAAUCAUUUUGGUGGUUUUUCUAGAAGGACAGUCCCUUCCUUUUAUUAAAAUAAUGCCACUCGAUGGGAAUAGAUAUAGUUGUCUUUGCAUAUUUUUCUUUGAACAGGAGUAUUCUCACCAGUUUCAUUUUUUAUAUUUGAAAACAUGAAGUCAUCACCCAGCCCCUUUUCUGCUCUGCCGUGCUCUUCUUAAGGAAAUGGACUUGGGGGGUUUACUAUGAAUAUGAAUAGUUACUAAAUCCUAUGAGGAAACUCCAUCCAGGGAGCUGUGGAGGUCCAGUGUUUUGGAGGACUGGCUGGACAAAUUUGAACUUAGCUCCUGCAGUGAAUUGUGACAGGUUACUUGAUCUGUUUGGGAUUAUAGUGUUUUUCUUUGUUGUUGUAGUUUGUCAUUGGAAAAUACAAAGUUUAAUUUCUAUAUCAAUAUUUUUUUUUCUGAAACCUCUUAUUUCAGAGUUUUCCAAAUAUAGAUACUAGUAACUUUGCCCCUUCCAUCAAAAAAAAAAAAAAAAA